CACAUCAGGGAUUGUUUGGUAUAGCAAAGCACGGCAUGGGGAAGGGAGUGCAUCGAAUAGGGAAGGGAGGCAAAGCAUCGGCAACAUACCUGACCUAAGCCCUGAGCCGUCACUACCACUCACCUCCAAUCGCAUCCCUGAGUCAUUGCCACCAGUCACCUCCAGUUGCCGCCCCACUAGUGCUAGAAAUACGUAUCCAGCAAAGGAAAUGCAUUUCUGAUUUCAAGAAAUUGAUUAAACAGCCCGGAAACAUUUCCUGAUCGUGUCCUCGUGUUUCUGAAGGGGAAACGCAGCCCCCUCCCAUUUGUGUGCAUCGUAGCCAUUCAUUACACAUGGAUUGUUUACUUGAGAGGGAGCGUCAUUGUGGAUUGUUUGAACUUGCCCAAAUACCUAUUGUUUAUAAAUAAUUAGAAGAUUUUUAAGAUUAAAUUGUAAAAUACUAGCAUAAUUUUAUAAAUAAAUUAAAUAAUUAUAAUUUUA
This is a long non-coding RNA of Hevea brasiliensis (rubber tree), 480 nucleotides long. RefSeq lists it as uncharacterized. Lineage: Eukaryota; Viridiplantae; Streptophyta; Magnoliopsida; Malpighiales; Euphorbiaceae. The record is from RefSeq and is a predicted model, not a curated record. The transcript is spliced from 2 exons.